RNAcentral lists this non-coding RNA (31 nucleotides) under Homo sapiens (human). The record is from RNAcentral. Lineage: Eukaryota; Metazoa; Chordata; Mammalia; Primates; Hominidae.
UGCCAUCAAGAGUGAUAGCCCAGAUGUGCUU